AGCCACAUUGUACUUUAUAUGUGGUAAUUUCUGCUCAAUGAAUAUGUUAAAUAGCCGCAGUACCCUGACUGUGCAAAGGUAGCAUAAUCAUUUGGCUCAUAAUUGGAGUCUAGUAUGAAUGAAUUUAUGGCUAGAAACUGUCUCAUUUAAAGUUUAUUGAACUUACUAAGUGAGUGCAAAUACUCACAUUAUUACGAAAGACGAGAAGACCCUAGAAAUUUUUAAUUAAUUUAUUUUAUUAAUUUAAUAAAGCGUUUUUGUUGGGGCGACAUAAUAACAUAUAACUUAUUAUAAAUAUAAGAACUUUAUAUUGAGUAAAUUAAAAUUACUCUAGGGAUAACAGCAUAAUUUACGAAAGUUUGUGACCUCGAUGUUGGAUUAGGGACUGUAUUAUUCAAAAGAAAAUACGAUUUGUUCUGUUCGAACAAUAAUUCUU
Molecule: ribosomal RNA, 436 nt
Filed under: Eremarionta rowelli bakerensis
Lineage: Eukaryota; Metazoa; Mollusca; Gastropoda; Stylommatophora; Helminthoglyptidae
Description: partial 16S ribosomal RNA
Rfam family: Archaeal large subunit ribosomal RNA
Source: RNAcentral